UACGAAGGGGGCUAGCGUUGCUCGGAAUCACUGGGCGUAAAGGGUGCGUAGGCGGGUCUUUAAGUCAGGGGUGAAAUCCUGGAGCUCAACUCCAGAACUGCCUUUGAUACUGAAGAUCUUGAGUUCGGGAGAGGUGAGUGGAACUGCGAGUGUAGAGGUGAAAUUCGUAGAUAUUGGGAGGAACACCAGUGGCGAAGGCGGCUCACUGGACCGGAACUGACGCUGAGGCGCGAAAGCGUGGGGAGCAAACAGG
This 253-nucleotide ribosomal RNA is filed under the name uncultured bacterium. Its description in RNAcentral is "partial 16S ribosomal RNA". It matches the Rfam family "Bacterial small subunit ribosomal RNA", at positions 524 to 776 of the family's 1533-position model. The record is from RNAcentral.